This 253-nucleotide ribosomal RNA is filed under the name uncultured bacterium. RNAcentral describes it as "partial 16S ribosomal RNA". It matches the Rfam family "Bacterial small subunit ribosomal RNA", at positions 524 to 776 of the family's 1533-position model. The record is from RNAcentral.
UACGUAGGGGGCUAGCGUUGUCCGGAUUUAUUGGGCGUAAAGAGCGUGUAGGCGGCCAGGUAGGUCUGCUGUGAAAACUCGAGGCUCAACCUCGAGACGUCGGCGGAAACCAUCUGGCUAGAGUCCGGAAGAGGAGAGUGGAAUUCCUGGUGUAGCGGUGAAAUGCGCAGAUAUGUGGAGGAAUACCGAUGGCGAAGGCAGCCCCCUGGGAUAACACUGACGCUCAUGCACGAAAGCGUGGGGAGCAAACAGG